Molecule: long non-coding RNA, 188 nt
Organism: Populus trichocarpa (black cottonwood)
Lineage: Eukaryota; Viridiplantae; Streptophyta; Magnoliopsida; Malpighiales; Salicaceae
Exons: 2
Source: RefSeq, a predicted model, not a curated record
CAUCACAAGGCAAAAAAAGCUACUUCAAGAAAUAUAAUUGAAGUGAAAAGACUCACCCUAUAAAGUAUCCAGAGAUCAAGGGCAAGUACCACCCCAAUCACCUACUCUGAUAAGAUCUCAAAAAUACUAUACUAGAAGCAGGCAGGUGUAUGCCACAGUUGUGUCAAAAGUUUCAAGGUUCUAACCAC